Molecule: long non-coding RNA, 940 nt
Filed under: Parus major (Great Tit)
Lineage: Eukaryota; Metazoa; Chordata; Aves; Passeriformes; Paridae
Description: lncRNA (ENSPMJG00000004309.1)
Source: RNAcentral
GGGGUUUUGGGUUUUUAUAAAGUGAAGACUUUUUUCUUUCUUUCUGCUAUAAACCAUUAACAUUUUGUAACAGCCUUUCCUCGCAACCAUUCCAGUUCUGUGCAUUUCCUAGUUUUUUAAAAUUUACUUUCUCUGAACAGAAUCUUUGCAGGUUCACUUUGAACCUGAAGCAGCCACUUCACCUCCUGCUUCUGCUGCUGCCCCCGCUCCUCCUUGUGAUGACUCUUUUCGGCGUCACAUUGAACCCGAAGCAGACGGUACACAUCCUGCUCCUGCUCCUCAUGAAUCUUUUUGGCGUCGUAUUGGACACCAUCUAGCCAAAACACCUCCUGCUCAUGCUCGUGACAGUGAUGAAUCUGUUGGGCCUCGCUUUGUGCCCAAAGGAGCUGCUGCACCUCAUGGUCCUGAAAACGAUGAUAUUUUUCGGGUUAGCGUUGCACCCCAAGCAGCCGUUACACCUCCUACUCCUGUGACUCCUCCUGAUGAUAUUUUUCAACCUCGUGUUUCACCCCAUGCAAGUGUUAUACCUCCUGCUCCUGCUACUCAUGCUCCUACUCCGGUUCCUGAUGCCCAAGCAAGUGUUACACCUCCUGCUCCUGCUACUCCUGCUCCUACUCUGGCUCCUGAUGGUGAGUCUGCUUUUCAAGCAAUUAGAGUCACUUGGAUGUGAGUUCAGAACCAGCAUCUCCUUACUGCAGAGAUUCUGUAGAUAAAUACAACACUCUGUUGUAAAUAUAAUGCAGCAAAAAAAAAUGCUAUCAUAAAUGUUGUGAGACUUGUUUCAGAUGAGAAAAGAGAUGAUUAAAGUUAACACAGGGAUUAAUAUUACUGCUGCAAUUUUUUUCCAUUUAUCCUUAUUGCUUGAAUAUUUUUGGUUUUAGUUUGGGUUUGGUUAAAGGAAUUUUUUAGUUUCAGGAAGUGGCAGUAGGUCAGUGAGUGG